Molecule: unclassified non-coding RNA, 617 nt
Filed under: Hevea brasiliensis (rubber tree)
Lineage: Eukaryota; Viridiplantae; Streptophyta; Magnoliopsida; Malpighiales; Euphorbiaceae
Source: RNAcentral
UACAAAGUAGAGAACUUGAAGUCUAUCCUUGUAAUCAGAUGGAAGUUCUUCAUAAAUCCACCUCAGGAUGGUCAAGCCUGGACAAUUAUCAUCCUUCUGGGCGGUAGUAUGAAAGUACACAAUGCAAAAUGGACCCUCAGACAAUUCGCUCUGGAAUUUAUGGAAGAUAUAUUUCUUCAGCCGCUCUCCACUUACAACCACAGCAGGGAAGUACUUUCCGACGACGCGGAGGAUGCGAUUCCCGGCCUUGUCGGAGCCCUCAAGACGGACAAACUGCAAGAGAUCGAGAUCGGAGAAGUCCUCAUCGGAGGAAAGGUUUUGAGAACAAUCGUGCCAAUUGUCAGCCUCUUCAGACUCUUUGUCUUUGUCAGGCAAAAGUGGCCGCGAAUCGAUGCCGCCAUCGGAAGGGAGAAUGACGACCGAGAAAUCGUUAGGGGUGCUGCCCAUCUCUGCUUUGAUCUUCUUCUCUCACUUUCCUCUGAUUCGACUCGCGCUAUUAUAGAUGGGAUGGAGUUCAGAAGCAACAAAUAUCUCGCAUUUGUGAAAUUAAUGAGAGAAAGUUACAUGAACGGACAAGAUGAUGUUGAAGAUCGCCAUUGUUGGAGCUUUGAUUCGAG